This 201-nucleotide ribosomal RNA is filed under the name Clostridioides difficile. RNAcentral's name for it is "partial 23S ribosomal RNA". It matches the Rfam family "Bacterial large subunit ribosomal RNA", at positions 2415 to 2615 of the family's 2925-position model. The record is from RNAcentral. Lineage: Bacteria; Bacillati; Bacillota; Clostridia; Peptostreptococcales; Peptostreptococcaceae.
GUGAUCCGGUGGUUCUGCGUGGAAGGGCCAUCGCUCAACGGAUAAAAGCUACCCUGGGGAUAACAGGCUUAUCCCCCCCAAGAGUCCACAUCGACGGGGAGGUUUGGCACCUCGAUGUCGGCUCAUCCCAUCCUGGGGCUGUAGUAGGUCCCAAGGGUUGGGCUGUUCGCCCAUUAAAGUGGUACGCGAGCUGGGUUCAGA